Molecule: ribosomal RNA, 492 nt
Filed under: uncultured bacterium
Lineage: Bacteria
Description: partial 16S ribosomal RNA
Rfam family: Bacterial small subunit ribosomal RNA
Source: RNAcentral
GAUGAACGCUAGCUACAGGCUUAACACAUGCAAGUCGAGGGGAAACGACAUCGAAAGCUUGCUUUUGAUGGGCGUCGACCGGCGCACGGGUGAGUAACGCGUAUCCAACCUGCCCAUCACUUGGGAAUAACCUUGCGAAAGUAAGACUAAUACCCAAUGAUAUCCCACGAAGGCAUCGGAAUGGGAUUAAAGAUUUAUCGGUGAUGGAUGGGGAUGCGUCUGAUUAGCUUGUUGGCGGGGUAACGGCCCACCAAGGCAACGAUCAGUAGGGGUUCUGAGAGGAAGGUCCCCCACAUUGGAACUGAGACACGGUCCAAACUCCUACGGGAGGCAGCAGUGAGGAAUUUUGGUCAAUGGGCGAGAGCCUGAACCAGCCAAGUAGCGUGCAGGAAGACGGCCCUAUGGGUUGUAAACUGCUUUUAUAAGGGAAUAAAGUGGGUCACGUGUGACUUUUUGCAUGUACCUUAUGAAUAAGGACCGGCUAAUUCCGUG